Molecule: ribosomal RNA, 165 nt
Filed under: uncultured bacterium
Lineage: Bacteria
Description: partial 16S rRNA
Rfam family: Bacterial small subunit ribosomal RNA
Source: RNAcentral
UAGGGAAUCUUCGGCAAUGGGGGCAACCCUGACCGAGCAACGCCGCGUGAGUGAAGAAGGUUUUCGGAUCGUAAAGCUCUGUUGUAAGAGAAGAACGUGUGUGAGAGUGGAAAGUUCACACAGUGACGGUAACUUACCAGAAAGGGACGGCUAACUACGCCCCAG